RNAcentral lists this ribosomal RNA (400 nucleotides) under uncultured bacterium. RNAcentral's name for it is "bacterial SSU rRNA". It matches the Rfam family "Bacterial small subunit ribosomal RNA", at positions 355 to 772 of the family's 1533-position model. The record is from RNAcentral.
UGGGGAAUAUUGGACAAUGGGCGAAAGCCUGAUCCAGCAAUGCCGCGUGAGUGAUGAAGGCCUUAGGGUUGUAAAGCUCUUUUACCCGGGAUGAUAAUGACAGUACCGGGAGAAUAAGCCCCGGCUAACUCCGUGCCAGCAGCCGCGGUAAUACGGAGGGGGUUAGCGUUGUUCGGAAUGACUGGGCGUAAAGCGCGCGUAGGCGGGCUGGAAAGUUGGGGGUGAAAUCCCGGGGCUCAACCCCGGAAUGGCCUUCAAGACUCCCAGCCUAGAGUUCGAGAGAGGUGAGUGGAAUUCCGAGUGUAGAGGUGAAAUUCGUAGAUAUUCGGAGGAACACCAGUGGCGAAGGCGGCUCACUGGCUCGACACUGACGCUGAGGUGCGAAAGCGUGGGGAGCAAA